CCCUAUGCUGGGGAAUAACCUCGGGAAACUGAGAAUAAUGCCCCAUAGCCCACUACGCCUGGAACGGUGAGUGGGUCAAAGCUCCAGCGGCAUAGGAUGGGCCUGCGCCGUAUCAGGUUGUAGGGGGUGUAAAGUACCCUCUAGCCAUCAACGCGUACGGGUGUUGGGAGACAUUGCCCGGAGAUGGAUUCUGAGACACGAAUCCAGACCCUACGGGGUGCAGCAGGCGCGAAAACUUGGCAAUGCGAGCAAUCGUGACCAGGGAACUCCAAGUGCGUAGGGUAAGACCUACGCUUUUCUUGACUCUUCAAAGGUCUUGGAAUAAGGGGUGGGUAAGGACGGUGCCAGCCGCCGCGGUAAUACCGGCGCCUCAAGUGGUAGUCGCUUUUAUUGGGCCUAAAACGUCCGUAGCCGGUCUGGUACAUUCGUGGGUAAAUCAACCCGCUCAACGGGUUGAAUUCUGCGAGCACGGCCAGACUUGGGACCGGGAGAGGUGUGGGGUACUCUCAGGGUAGGGGUAAAAUCCUGUCAUCCUGAGAGGACCACCUGUUGCGAAGGCGCCACACUAGAACGGAUCCGACGGUCAGGGACGAAACCUAGGGGCACGAACCGGAUUAGAUACCCGGGUAGUCCUAGGUGUAAACGCUGUGGACUUGAUGUUGGGGGCGCUCCGAGCGCUUUCAGUGUC
This 688-nucleotide ribosomal RNA is filed under the name uncultured archaeon. RNAcentral describes it as "bacterial SSU rRNA". It matches the Rfam family "Archaeal small subunit ribosomal RNA", at positions 112 to 802 of the family's 1478-position model. The record is from RNAcentral.